RNAcentral lists this ribosomal RNA (449 nucleotides) under uncultured bacterium. RNAcentral describes it as "bacterial SSU rRNA". It matches the Rfam family "Bacterial small subunit ribosomal RNA", at positions 354 to 796 of the family's 1533-position model. The record is from RNAcentral.
GUGGGGAAUUGUUCGCAAUGGGCGCAAGCCUGACGACGCAACGCCGCGUGGAGGAUGAAGGUCUUCGGAUUGUAAACUCCUGUUGCUCGGGACGAAAAGCUUCGACCUAACACGUCGAAGUCUGACGGUACCGAGUGAGGAAGCCCCGGCUAACUCUGUGCCAGCAGCCGCGGUAAUACAGAGGGGGCAAGCGUUGUUCGGAAUUACUGGGCGUAAAGGGCGCGUAGGCGGCCUGCUAAGUCGAACGUGAAAUCCCUGGGCUCAACCCAGGAACUGCGUCCGAUACUGGUUGGCUUGAAUCCGGGAGAGGGAUGUGGAAUUCCAGGUGUAGCGGUGAAAUGCGUAGAUAUCUGGAGGAACACCGGUGGCGAAGGCGACAUCCUGGACCGGUAUUGACGCUGAGGCGCGAAAGCCAGGGGAGCAAACGGGAUUAGAAACCCUUGUAGUCC